UAGCAGAAAGAAAGUAAUCAAUCAACAAAUCAUCUAUCGGCAGCAGGCGUGUGGAGCAACAUCCAGCGAUCCUUCGAGUCCGGGAAGGCACACGCCGAGGGCGAGACUGGUGAGCAGGUGGCGCAGGCGGCACAGAACGCGGCGACCGCCACCAAGGGAUCCGCCGUCCAGGCAGGCAUCCAUCCGUAUGAAAAUCUGAAUAUAUCAUUCGACUGAGCAGUGAAGGUGAAGCAUUGCCUGGCUGAAGCUGCAUUUUACGCGCCUUCGUUCUCUGUUUCAUGUUUCUUUCGACUAACCUGGUUGUAACAAACAUAUGCAUUUGUUUGCUCGAAGAUUCCGAAAUGUUGUCACGCUGAACAACAUUCCACAUCCGUGAUAACAGUUUAUCGCAUGACUUGCACUGUAAUUUUUAGCUUCCGCCAAACUGUAUUUCUUGGGGUACAUUUUACUCCAAGUCAGUUUUAGCUGAUAACUGUAUUUCACAUGCUAGAUGUAGUUACAUCCUAGCUAAUAUACUUUCAAAUUUAGUUUUUGCUAAUGAACGCAACACUUCCCGAA
Long non-coding RNA from Oryza sativa Japonica Group (Japanese rice), 558 nucleotides. RefSeq lists it as uncharacterized. Lineage: Eukaryota; Viridiplantae; Streptophyta; Magnoliopsida; Poales; Poaceae. The record is from RefSeq and is a predicted model, not a curated record.